AUUAAACCGUUGAAUGAGAGUAGUAAACAUAUGAAAUUGAAUUCCAGAGAGCUAUUGUUGGUGGGAAUAUAGCAUUUGAAUCUAUGUUGAAUGGACUCAUGAGGGCAACCCGAAAGAGAUGUGAGUAGGCGUUGACGGAAAUCCUAACCGUUAUGAUGGAAGCAUAUGUUAGUAUGUUGAACUUGCUAUUUGGGUGGCAAAACAGAAUUAUGAACUUCUGUCCCUUUG
RNAcentral lists this non-coding RNA (228 nucleotides) under Clostridium sp. Its description in RNAcentral is "T-box sequence". It matches the Rfam family "T-box leader". From Rfam's summary of the family: Uncharged tRNA acts as the effector for transcription antitermination of genes in the T-box leader family. The record is from RNAcentral. Lineage: Bacteria; Bacillati; Bacillota; Clostridia; Eubacteriales; Clostridiaceae.